GUAGGGAAUAUUGGGCAAUGGAUGCAAGUCUGACCCAGCCAUGCCGCGUGCCGGAAGAAGGCCCUCAGGGUUGUAAACGGCUUUUAUUCGGGAAGAAGAGCAGGGAUGCGUCCUUGUGUGACGGUACCGAAUGAAUAAGCACCGGCUAACUCCGUGCCAGCAGCCGCGGUAAUACGGAGGGUGCGAGCGUUGUCCGGAUUUAUUGGGUUUAAAGGGUGCGUAGGUGGCUUUAUAAGUCAGUGGUGAAAUACAGCCGCUCAACGGUUGAGGUGCCAUUGAUACUGUAGAGCUUGAAACAAUUGGAGGCUGCCGGAAUGGAUGGUGUAGCGGUGAAAUGCAUAGAUAUCAUCCAGAACACCGAUUGCGAAGGCAGGUGGCUACGUUUGAUUUGACACUGAGGCACGAAAGCAUGGGGAGCAAACAGGAUUAGAAACCCCAGUAGUCC
This 445-nucleotide ribosomal RNA is filed under the name uncultured bacterium. Its description in RNAcentral is "bacterial SSU rRNA". It matches the Rfam family "Bacterial small subunit ribosomal RNA", at positions 354 to 796 of the family's 1533-position model. The record is from RNAcentral.